RNAcentral lists this non-coding RNA (24 nucleotides) under Arabidopsis thaliana (thale cress). The record is from RNAcentral. Lineage: Eukaryota; Viridiplantae; Streptophyta; Magnoliopsida; Brassicales; Brassicaceae.
UUCUGAUGCAAUGCCUGUCAACAA